RNAcentral lists this ribosomal RNA (393 nucleotides) under uncultured bacterium. Its description in RNAcentral is "bacterial SSU rRNA". It matches the Rfam family "Bacterial small subunit ribosomal RNA", at positions 28 to 426 of the family's 1533-position model. The record is from RNAcentral.
GACGAACGCUGGCGGCGUGCUUAACACAUGCAAGUCACGGGGGCUUGGGGGCGACUCUGAGCAACCGGCGAACGGGUGCGUAACACGUGAGCAACCUGCCGAUCUGUGGGGGAUAGCCGGGCUAACGCCCGGGUAAUACCGCAUACGGUUCCUGCGAGGCGUCUUGCGGGAAAGAAACCUCUGGGGCAGAUCGAGGGGCUCGCGGCCUAUCAGCUGGUUGGGGGGUAAUGGCCCACCAAGGCGACGACGGGUAGCUGGUCUGAGAGGAUGGCCAGCCACAUUGGGACUGAGAGACGGCCCAGACUCCUACGGGAGGCAGCAGUGGGGAAUCUUGCGCAAUGGCCGCAAGGCUGACGCAGCGACGCCGCGUGUGGGAGGACGCCUUUCGGGUGU